RNAcentral lists this ribosomal RNA (274 nucleotides) under uncultured bacterium. Its description in RNAcentral is "partial 16S ribosomal RNA". It matches the Rfam family "Bacterial small subunit ribosomal RNA", at positions 338 to 628 of the family's 1533-position model. The record is from RNAcentral.
CCUACGGGAGGCAGCAGUGGGGGAUAUUGCACAGUGGGGGGAACCCUGAUGCAGCGACGCCGCGUGGGUGAAGGAGCGUUUCGGCGCGUAAAGCCCUAUCGGCAGGGAAGAAGGAGGACGGUACCUGACUAAGAAGCCCCGGCUAACUACGUGCCAGCAGCCGCGGUAAUACGUAGGGGGCAAGCGUUAUCCGGAUUUACUGGGUGUAAAGGGCGCGUAGGCGGGAUGGCAAGUCAGAUGUUAAAUCCGGGGGCUCAACCCCUGAACUUCAUUU